UGUGGAUCAAGAAAAUGUGAAGUCUCAUGUACUUCUUCACUCUGCCAACAUGUGAUCUAACCUUCUGAAAUCAUAAGUCAAGGUGAAAAUCCAUGUCAGGUUUUUCAUUUUAUUUUUACUCUGAAAUCGAGAGGAUAAUUCAGGUGCAUCAUUCAAAUGUACAUCACAACCUUGGUGCAAAGGAAUAUGUUUUACUGGAGAUGUCUAAGGGACUCAUCUCUUGAAGAAAUGGACAUCAAGUCUCUUAUCCUCAGAAGAAUAAUAAAUGGAGUAUAAUAAGACAUGUUUAGAUCAAAAAGUCAUUUAAAUAUUUUUUCAAUAUAACAUUUGGAUUUAUUUCCUGGGAAUGUCACAUAUUGUAUCCUGAUGACACUCACUUCUUAGUACUUCCGAGUUUUCUUCCCCAUCCCCGUGACCACCUCUGGUUUGGUUUUGAGCUUCUCUUAUG
RNAcentral lists this small RNA (448 nucleotides) under Rattus norvegicus (Norway rat). RNAcentral's name for it is "uncharacterized LOC102552277". The record is from RNAcentral. Lineage: Eukaryota; Metazoa; Chordata; Mammalia; Rodentia; Muridae.